Molecule: long non-coding RNA, 792 nt
Organism: Syngnathoides biaculeatus (alligator pipefish)
Lineage: Eukaryota; Metazoa; Chordata; Actinopteri; Syngnathiformes; Syngnathidae
Exons: 4
Source: RefSeq, a predicted model, not a curated record
UUGAAUGGAAUCAGAAGCAUGGAGUCUGUCUCAGUUCAGAAUGUAUUGUAUUGUAUUGUAUUUGCCAUUUUUACUGUUUGUCUUACGUCAGCGCACGUGGCGUGACGUCACUUCAGGAGGCGUGGUUAAGUGCCCUGUACAGAGGGGUCAAUUACCCCAAAAAGCCGAGGUGUCAAAUACCGCAAGGCCAUCUUGUAUUUCACGACACCCGUCACCGGGGAUGACUGCAGCCACAGUAGAUGAAAUGCUCAAGUUGGUGGAGGACAGUAAUGUGGCAAAGCUCACAUGUACAGGACAAAAGGUUGAAUAAAUAAGAGUGGCACUAUUGAAUUGUAAAGCAGCCAUGUUGCAGCCUGGCUGACUUGGAGGACUGUUUGCGAUGCUACAAUGAGCCUGCUCUGCCAAACGUGCGGACUUCUAAUAGAGAUGGAUGCAAGGAAAAGGAGUGAUAUAUGGAUUCUAAGUAUCUGGCUAAAGAGUCACACCUGCCUGGCAACACUCACACGCACAGACAAGAGUCCUGUGCACUAACACGUGCGGCUGUUUAAUGGCGCCAAGUCAAGAGCAGCUGGGAGGGGGAUCGCUGCACCAUUGGCCAGAAAGAACCAGCCGCAUGAUGUCACCGAGCUGACCUCAUUACCCGUAAGGAAGCCCAACGAUGUCUGUUGCUGGUGAUGUCACUACUCAUUAGCCGGCCUUCAUUCAAACAAAAAUAAUAUUUACUUUGGUGCGACACUGUUGUCUUUUGCACGGAGAUGCCACAUAUCACCCUUAUCCACCACACACUUUUAC